AACGCGAAGAACCUUACCUACCCUUGACAUCCUCGGAACUUGUCAGAAAUGACUUGGUGCCUUCGGGAACCGAGUGACAGGUGCUGCAUGGCUGUCGUCAGCUCGUGUCGUGAGAUGUUGGGUUAAGUCCCGUAACGAGCGCAACCCUCGCCCUUAGUUGCCAGCGGUUCGGCCGGGAACUCUAAGGGGACUGCCGGUGAUAAACCGGAGGAAGGCGGGGACGACGUCAAGUCAUCAUGGCCCUUACGGGUAGGGCUACACACGUGCUACAAUGGGCAGUACAAAGGGUUGCCAAACCGCGAGGUGGAGCUAAUCCCAAAAAACUGUCCGUAGUCCGGAUUGGAGUCUGCAACUCGACUCCAUGAAGUUGGAAUCGCUAGUAAUCGCAAAUCAGCAUGUUGCGGUGAAUACGUUCCCGGGCCUUGUACACACCGACGCGUA
RNAcentral lists this ribosomal RNA (441 nucleotides) under uncultured bacterium. RNAcentral's name for it is "bacterial SSU rRNA". It matches the Rfam family "Bacterial small subunit ribosomal RNA", at positions 958 to 1399 of the family's 1533-position model. The record is from RNAcentral.